CUUCAGGAAACUGUGGGCUAAUACCGGAUAGGAGCUCCUGCUGCAUGGUGGGGGUUGGAAAGUUUCGGCGGUUGGGGAUGGACUCGCGGCUUAUCAGCUUGUUGGUGGGGUAGUGGCUUACCAAGGCUUUGACGGGUAGCCGGCCUGAGAGGGUGACCGGCCACAUUGGGACUGAGAUACGGCCCAG
RNAcentral lists this ribosomal RNA (187 nucleotides) under uncultured Actinomycetales bacterium. Its description in RNAcentral is "partial 16S ribosomal RNA". It matches the Rfam family "Bacterial small subunit ribosomal RNA", at positions 147 to 334 of the family's 1533-position model. Lineage: Bacteria; Bacillati; Actinomycetota; Actinomycetes; Actinomycetales. The record is from RNAcentral.